This 7788-nucleotide long non-coding RNA is filed under the name Lactuca sativa (garden lettuce). RNAcentral describes it as "long non-coding RNA (LSAT_LNC007413)". The record is from RNAcentral. Lineage: Eukaryota; Viridiplantae; Streptophyta; Magnoliopsida; Asterales; Asteraceae.
CUAUUUCCUUUUCGCGCCUUGAGAUGUGGUCUGGUGGGAUAUCGGGUAAUCGUCCGAAAGUCGUUUAAAUAUUAGUUAUAUAUCAUGUGUACAUAUAUAGUCAUAAAAGGUCCUUCCAGUUCAACAUAUGCCCUUGGGUAGCAAGGGUAUACAUCCAUGUCCAUACUUACCAGAUAGAUUACUAGUAAACUACCAUAUGGGUAGUUUAGGAAGAUACUAGAACAAUUACUAGAACACGAUAUCAUACAAAUGAGUCAGUUCAUUCAUGAGUCAAUACCUUCUAGAACAUUACAGUACAUUACUAUACUUGCUAGAUAGAGAGAACACACAUUACAGCUAGCACACGUAGAACAUUACAGUACAUUACUAUACUUGCUAGAUAGAGAGAACACACAUUACAGCUAGCACACGUAGAACAUUACAGUACAUACUAUACUUGCUAGUUAGAGAGAGCACACAUUACAGCUAGCACACGUAGAACAUUUCAGUACUCUACUAUACUAUUACAUGAUCACACUUUCUGGAGUACUUUUACAUAGAUAUACCAGGAGGAGUGCUGUUACAUUUUAUAUGUAUCGACUCUGUUGUCAAAUCCUCGUUCUUAUCUUUACCUUGUAAUAUAAUCACAUAGUUGACGAGAUAGAUUGGAUUUAAUAUCCUAGUACCAAAUGAUACAUUGUGGGAUUGACCAUUCCUAGAAUCUCUGUUAGCUACAAAGGUAAAAGCACAUCCACGGAUGUCAACGGUUGGUACCAUUAUAGGUAUACUUUAAGGGACUGACUAUUCCUAUACCCAGCUGUUAGCAACAGAGGUAAAAGUACGUCUACGGAUGUCUUAAAGUUAACAAUGUUAGUUACCCUAGUACCAAAGGGUAAUAUUUAGGUUAGUUGUAUUAUUACCUUUAUUUUGUGACUCAUUCACAUAACCAAUGAGGUGAAUUAUAUUUAAGUAUCCUAGUACCAAAGGAUACAAUUUCUUAUAAUGAUAAUAAUAGUAACACAGUUAAGUCUUGGUAGAAGACUACGAUCAGANCAAACUAUAUUUUUGGAUAAUGAUAGUUAUACUUUGGAAAAUACAUACUCUUACAAGAGACACACAUUCAGAACAGUUAGGUCUUGGUAGAAGACACCUUCAUAUACUAGUAGGAAUCAUAGGGAUUCUAGGGUUUUUCAAACACUUACAGUUCAUAUACACUUUCAAUACUUACAAUACAUAGACUUACAAAUUCUUACAUACAAACACUUACAUACAAAUUAAGACACUAAAUACUUAUGAUCUCACCAGCUUUAAAGCUGAUACUCGCUUUCAAAAUUACUUGUAUCCUCAGGUCAUCAUAGACAGGUACCGAUGCAAGGAGAAAGGAAGAUGGAGCUUGUUCAAGACUUAUCUUUCAUUUUGAUUUAUGCUUUAGUGUUUAUCAAAAUUUGACAGAAUACAAUUGUAUAAUAAUUAUUUUAUUAAUGCAAUGGAUGAUGUUGUUGCUUGUUUACUACUUUACAUUGUUGUUGAUAUUAUACAUGACGUCCUCCGCCCCAGAACGUUUCCGCCGUUCUUGGUUUUGGGGUGUGACAGAUUGGUAUCAGAGCAUUGUUUAUAGUGAAUUAAGUAUAUCAACCCAUAAAAGAUAUACUAACUAUAAAUACAUAAGGGAUUAAAAAUACUCUGACCAAGAGUUUAUACUUUAAAUAGUAAAAUAUUUAAGUAAGUAUACGUGCUGCAUUCAUACUAAAAUCAGUGUCACUAGGACAGUACAAAAGAAUUACGAUUGUUGGGCAACACAAGUGGGCAUAGAGACAUAUGGUCAAAACUGGGAAGAUAUAGCCUGAUCACCUAUAUUAUCCGAGAGUUGACUAGCAUGUUCCUAAGUUUAAGUGUGUGGUUGCAAUAAUGCUAAAAUCUUACCAACCCUACCACAAUGAGAACAAUAGAACAUAACACUAAAAUUUAAAUACUAUAGGAGUAUUUGGUGUUACUAUAAGUACUUUGCAACCAGUAUCUUCCGAAUGAAGUCAUAGCUGGUUGGUUUGGAGAAGAACCAGAGAAUGAUCAUCCUGUUCCCCUUGAAUGAUCACCAUGAUGAAGACCUUUCGUAUGAUGCUAACUCCGAACCAGAGGUUGAAAACCUACCCCGAGCAGCUCCCUUUCCUAUUCCUAACCCUCGUCCGGCUUUUCAUGGCCCGACCCCUGAGAGAGUGGAAUGCUUGGAAAUAUGGAGCCAAGGACAAGAUCAACCCAUGCCAUUCAAUGGCGACCGAAGCUUUUACGACUUGAGCAAUGGGGGGCUCAGUAGAUAGAGUCUAUCUGAAUCAUGCUUUAGUCAAGUCAUUGGACUAUAGUGAUUUAUCUCCGGAGACAUUUCCAAGUCUCUUUUAGUGGUUGGAUCUUAUUAUUCACCAACCCACAAUACCUCAGCUUGAACGAAAAACGUUUUAAGACCACUCUACGAACUUUCUUUUACUUAUUACUAGGACUGCAUCAUAGGGAUGUAGGUCAAAUCUGCGCGAACAUACUUCUACUCUUUACAUGAACAAUGUAAGUACAUCAAGGUCAACCAUAAUCGCUCACAAAAUCCUUAUCUUGCGUGUUACAGGAUCAUGUCGUCAUCCGGAAACAACCAGCCAAGCAACGAGACCUCUACUUUUCCUAUGGACGCCAAUACUUUUCAAGCCACCAUUACAGCUGCUGUGAUGGCUGCCGUGACCGCAGUCCUGGCAAACCGCAGCAUUACCAAUGCAGGCAAGGCUGAAAAAGGAGUUGACAAUCCCGAUCGUAUUAAUGAUCCGGGAAUCAACAAAUAGUAACAGUCGCCACCACCCAAAACAACAACUUAGAGUUCAAGAAAAGAAAACGUCAAGCCAAAGUGGAACGCAAACGGUUUCAGAGAAUUGCCAGGCCCCAGCCACAAACCUCUGCCAUCCCAGUACCGAGCAGACCAUAUAAAGGAACACUCCCGAAGUGCGACCAGUGCAACCACCACCACAAGGGAAUUUGCCGAGCCUGGCAAUGCAAUAAUUGCAACAAGAUGGGACACAUUGUUCGUUUCUGUAGAAUUACCUCCAUCACUGGAGCAAGCCUACUUUGCUAUAGUUGUGGUGAGGAAGGGCACUAUUACAGAAAUUGCCCAAAAGGGGAGAUCAAUGAAAGCAGUCGUGUCCCCAUAACUCCUACUCGACACUUCAUUUCCUCCACUUAUGUGGGUACUAUCCAGAUAUGUCACCAAUGCGGUGAGAUUGGACACCUCAAGAAAGAUUGCCUGAUAACGCAGAACUCUGGCGCAGACGGGAAAAUUCUCAGGAUCACAGUUGCAGGAGAGCCUGCUCCGGAACCACGUUAAAUGUGACUUAGGCGUGUUGUUGUAACAGACUUAUAAACUAUCUAGAACUAGUGCAACUAGAGUCUUACCUUAUGCGAGAUCCUGUCUAUAUAGGAAUUCUCGUGCUGCGUAAACUUGUCUUUGGUAGUAUAUCUUAUUCGCAGCAAUGGUCUUUUGGUAAAUCUAAUGUACUGUAACUCUGUUCAUGGUUGCACGGUUGUGUUUUGUCUGUAAUCGUCUUGUGUUCGAAUCUAAUGUCUUUAAGUUUCAGUAUGAUUCCGACAUUUUCAUACGACUCGAUUAAAUUUGAUCCUCACGAAAAUAGCUUUUUACGUACAUCUCUUUCUUCUAGAUCACAUUUCCAGCAAAGCCGUCAUAUCAGAACACCGAAGUACUCAUGCCAGGAAUACCUCUUAGUUAUUUUCUUUCCGAAGAAAUCCCCAAAGUACCACUCGUGCAGUACGUCAAGUUCAAUCCAAGAAUUCAUGCAGAUGAUCUAUCAAUGAGGAAUGUAUACAUAAGAGUGUUAUAUAAUCAAGGUUCUACAGGUUUAGAAUUGAUGAUUUCACCUUAACUCUUUUCCUCAUUGGGAUGUGAGGAUAAGGAAGAAUCAGUUAUUCGACUACCUUUUCAAUCUUAAUUAUAUACGACUCGUAUACACGAGAUUGUGAUCGUGAAGCCCUGUAUGAAUUCUAAAAUGGACUUCAGGACGAAGAACUGCCGAUGUAUACGCGUAAUCGCAUCGUCAUGAGAACAAACUUAGAACCCAAUACGACUCCCCAAAAACAGAUCGCCCUAUAGUUUAAACACCCACAGAGAUACCAGAACAAUGCAAACAACUAAGCGAACUACACAGAAAUACACUUAGAAGACUAGGUUUCUCACCCUAGAGAACCCCAGUUGUAUUCUUCCAGAGAACGACGGAUCGCAUUGUAUGUACCUCGGUUAUUGAGGACUCCGUCAAGAUUUUCAUAGAAAUCGUUGUCUCUGCCUCGCAUAGAGGAAAUGGUUGAGAAAACGCAAGGAAAGAAACUACUUCCAGGAAUGGAUCUGAGAUCCGAAUAUCACCAGUACGAGUGUUAGGGAAGGAUGUCCCGAGGACUAUCUUCCGAACUCGAUGCGGACACUUCGAGUCCGUAGUGAUACCCUUUUCGGAUAGGACCAAUACGCCCNUUACGUCUUUCUUACUUGGAUCAAUUCGUCAUUUCUCCAUGAAAUGACUUACUUAUCUACCCUCGUAGUAAGAAGAAAGCCCAUGGGAACAUUCCUUCAGAGGAACUUCUCGUGAAGUUCUCUAGGCACGAGUUUUGAAAUUGAAGAGUCAAAUUUCUAUGUCACACUGUUAGUAAUGUGAGAAAUUUUUAGCACUCUUUCAAUUUGCCAGAACCGUUGAGCAUUUAUCGACACCAGAGACGCCGACAGUCUUUCGCCAAAUUCUAGGUCUUACCGACCUACCGCCUUAGUUCAUUCAGAACUCCUCGCAAGCUACAGAAACUCGUACGACUUUGACCCAGCAAGGGGUGGCCUUUGACUGGGAAGUUACGCAAGAAAAGGAACCUUUGAGAUUCCAAGUGAGUGACCAAGUUCUUUAGGAUAACUCACUCUGGGAAUGGCUUAAUACGCUUCGUAAAGCGUGGAAAGCUAAAUCCAAGUUAGACAGGACCUUAGAGAUUCUUAUCAGAAUCGGUCCUAUGCCUUGCACAAACUAGACCUACUCCGCGAACUCAGUAACAUACUUUCUACUCUUCGCAUCUUGAUCGUGAAACCAUACCUUUCCAUUAGGACUCUUGCAAAUCCACUCGUCGAGAUCCUCACCUUCGUAUUAGAACCGUAGUGACCCUCGACCGAGAGGUCAAGCGGACGAAGCAACGCUGUCGCCAGUUAGUGAAGGUUCGUUGGAAUGCCAACCGAGAGCUUGUUUACACUUAGGUGCGCUAGAACCAAUCGAUUAAGAAGUUUCCUCCUCAAGACUCGAUCAUUCAUGCAUACUUCCUUGCCUAAAUUCUAAUUUCGGGACGAAAUUCCCUUUAACAGGGGGAUGAUGUGACAACCCGAAAUUUCCAUUCUGAACAAACCAUAUCAAGCCAAUAGAUGUAGAUCAGUUACAGUGAAAAUUCAGACUCCGAGUGUAAGUUAGGCAGUUUUCAGGAUUUACACUUAAGAAGAUAUUAGGAGAGUGGUUGCACUAGGGUUUUGUGCAACACUAUUAUUCCAUUACUCUAAAAGAUUAGAGUUCGUUCCAGGAAUAAAAAUAUUUUUUGCUAAAAAUAUUUCAGGACUAUAAAUAGAAUUCUGAACCAAAUUGGUUCAUUAAUUGAAUUCCAAUUAGAGAAAAGCCAAAUUCUCUCUCACGGAUCUUCGGGUUUUUAUCCCAAAUUAUGAGUAACUCUUCCUAGUAGUGUUAGAAAGCUUUUAAUGUAUUGAAAACAUAGAUUACAUAGCUAAAUCAUCCGAUUUAGGAGUUUACUCCCCAAGGUGUUCUUGGGCGGUAAACUCCCGAAACCGAGCCUAGAUUGUCCCCUGUGCUUAGUAACUACCUUGGACAUGUAUAGGAGUGUUUUAGGUACAAGAAAUCAGCCAAGAAACACCCAAGUUUAGGAGUUCACGGCCCAAGAAUAGCUUAGGCCGUAAACUCCCUUGAAACAUGCUCAAAUGGUGUUUUUAAGGCACCUAAAGCUUGGACUUUAUGUUAGACAAAUACCCUAAAGUGUUUAGGACCUAGAAAACAUAAGGAAAACACAAGUGUUGAAGAGUUUACGGCCAAGAGUAAUUCUUGGGACGUAAACUCCUAUUAAGGGGUCAAAGGACACCCUAAAUCCUUCCUUAGGCCAUGAGACAAUUUGGGCAUGUACCUAGAUGAGUUUUGGACUAGUUAAAAUACUUAGAACACCAAUAGUGAGGGAGUUUAUGGCCCAAAAGGUUCUAUGGCUGUAAACUCCAUAAAAUGGUGCUAAAUGUGCCAUAAACCCUCCAAAAGCCAAGUACUAAAGUCUAGAUUUGUUCCUAGAAAUGUUUGAGACUUGAAAGCACCAUAAGAACCCUCCUAAGGGAGUUUACGGACGUAAACUCCAAGGGAAUAGGGUCUUUGGGCCGUAAACUCCCCAAAGGAGUCAAUAUGGUGCCCAAAAACUUGUUUAAGCCUUGAAACAAUUCACCACAUGAGUUGUAUAAUUGAUAGACUUCAUUUAGGGGCUUGUUGAGAGUUUACGGCCAGGAGCUUACUCCCCUAGGCCGUAAACUCCAAGACAUAUGGUCUUUAGACCAUAAACUCCCAUUAAAGGCAUUACACUCCUUUGUUGCAACCCUUUAGCCUCCUAGCACUUGACCAAAAGUGUUUUCCUCGCGCUUAAAUGUUAUUACUUGUAUAAUUAGUGAUUUAAUCUCUAAUUAUUUAUAUACAUAUGUCUUCAUAUGUAAUUAGGAUCAUUGUGUGUGUCUAAGUCUUCACUUGACACCAAGCACUUGUCCGAUCCUUCCGUACGAUAACAGUCCGUUCAAUUCCAGUCACUUACUGCAGGUGAGUUCAUACCCCUUAACUAAUGUUUUAAAUUAUUUUAAAUGUUUUAUGGGGGGGAUACAAGUAGAAUCAUGCUACUUCUCACAUCAAUCACAUGUGAUUAAUAUAUAGCAUUCAAAUGAUUUGGUUACUCAUUAGCCGUUUUACCAAACAGUUUCCUUCAAAUGAAUUGUUAUAAACAUUUUAUAUGUUUUAAACUCUUUAUUACACUGUACAUCUUACUCCGUACAUUACCUUUCAAACUUAUUUACAACUGUGUUUCAAACAAAUGUUUCCUUAUACUUAAACAGUUUUAUCAAAAUUUAUGCCUUCAAAUUGUUUUAUAGAUUGACAUCAAGUCAAUCUUUUCUUAAAAUAAUAUUUAUGUUUCAAAUGUCUUACAAAACUUAUUUAUGCUUUUAUAUUAUAAAUUGCAUGCCUCUAUAUGUAUAGUUAUAUAAGAAAUGUUUAAAAGACUUAGGAAGGCUAUCCACCCUAUUUCCUUUUCGCGCCUUGAGAUGUGGUCUGGUGGGAUAUCGGGUACUCGUCCGAAAGUCGUUUAAAUAUUAGUUAUAUAUCAUGUGUACAUAUAUAGUCAUAAAAGGUCCUUCCAGUUCAACAUAUGCCCUUGGGUAGCAAGGGUAUACAUCCAUGUCCAUACUUACCAGAUAGAUUACUAGUAAACUACCAUAUGGGUAGUUUAGGAAGAUACUAGAACAAUUACUAGAACACGAUAUCAUACAAAUGAGUCAGUUCAUUCAUGAGUCAAUACCUUCUAGAACAUUACAGUACAUUACUAUACUUGCUAGAUAGAGAGAACACACAUUACAGCUAGCACACGUAGAACAUUACAGUACAUUACUAUACUUGCUAGAUAGAGAGAACACACAUUACAGCUAGCACACGUAGAACAUUUCAGUACUCUACUAUACUAUUACAUGAUCACACUUACAGGAGUACUUUUACAUAGAUAUAUCAG